Molecule: ribosomal RNA, 497 nt
Filed under: uncultured bacterium
Lineage: Bacteria
Description: partial 16S ribosomal RNA
Rfam family: Bacterial small subunit ribosomal RNA
Source: RNAcentral
GAUGAACGCUGGCGGCGUGCCUAAUACAUGCAAGUCGAGCGAACAGACGAUGAGCUUGCUCCUCUGACGUUAGCGGCGGACGGGUGAGUAACACGUGGAUAACCUACCUAUAAGACUGGGAUAACUUCGGGAAACCGGAGCUAAUACCGGAUAAUAUAUUGUACCGCAUGGUUCAAUAGUGAAAGACGGUUUUGCUGUCACUUAUAGAUGGAUCCGCGCCGCAUUAGCUAGUUGGUAAGGUAACGGCUUACCAAGGCAACGAUGCGUAGCUGACCUGAGAGGGUGAUCGGCCACACUGGAACUGAGACACGGUCCAGACUCCUACGGGAGGCAGCAGUGGGGAAUCUUCGACAAUGGGCGAAAGCUUGACGCAGCAACACCGCGUGGGUGAAGAAGGCCUUCGGGUUGUAAAGCUCUUUUGUUGGGAAAGAAAAAAAGUAGAUGAAUACAUCGCUGUUUUGACGGUACCUAAAGAAAAAGCAACGGCUAACUUCGUG